GGGGCUAUAGCUCAGCUGGGAGAGCGCUUGCAUGGCAUGCAAGAGGUCAUCGGUUCGAUCCCGAUUAGCUCCA
RNAcentral lists this transfer RNA (73 nucleotides) under Plasticicumulans lactativorans. It matches the Rfam family "tRNA". From Rfam's summary of the family: Transfer RNA (tRNA) molecules are approximately 80 nucleotides in length. Their secondary structure includes four short double-helical elements and three loops (D, anti-codon, and T loops). RNAcentral also lists the same sequence under 2 other names. The record is from Rfam by way of RNAcentral. Lineage: Bacteria; Pseudomonadati; Pseudomonadota; Gammaproteobacteria; Candidatus Competibacteraceae.